Molecule: ribosomal RNA, 379 nt
Filed under: uncultured cyanobacterium
Lineage: Bacteria; Bacillati; Cyanobacteriota
Description: bacterial SSU rRNA
Rfam family: Bacterial small subunit ribosomal RNA
Source: RNAcentral
CGAAAGCCUGACGGAGCAACGCCGCGUGGGGGAAGAAGGUUCUUGGGCUGUCAACCACUUUUCUCAGGGAAGAAGAUCUGACGGUACCUGAGGAAUCAGCCUCGGCUAACUCCGUGCCAGCAGCCGCGGUAAUACGGAGGAGGCAAGCGUUAUCCGGAAUCAUUGGGCGUAAAGCGUUCGUAGGCGGCUGUUCAAGUCUGCUGUCAAAGGCUGGAGCUCAACUCCGGUAGAGCAGUGGAAACUGGUGCGCUAGAGGGCGACAGGGGUAGAGGGAAUUCCCAGUGUAGCGGUGAAAUGCGUAGAGAUUGGGAAGAACACCGGUGGCGAAAGCGCUCUACUGGGUCGCACCUGACCCUCAGGGACGAAAGCUAAGGUAGCG